GGCCAGACUCCUACGGGAGGCAGCAGUCGGGAAUAUUGCGCAAUGGAGGAAACUCUGACGCAGUGACGCCGCGUAUAGGACGAAGGUCUUCGGAUUGUAAACUAUUGUCGUUAGGGAAGAGAAAGGACAGUACCUAAGGAGGAAGCUCCGGCUAACUACGUGCCAGCAGCCGCGGUAAUACGUAGGGAGCAAGCGUUAUCCGGAUUUAUUGGGUGUAAAGGGUGCGUAGACGGUCCUGCAGGCCAGAUGUGAAAGCCCGGGGCUCAACCCCGGGACUGCAUUUGGAACUGUAAGGCUAGAGUGUCGGAGAGGCAGGCGGAAUUCCUAGUGUAGCGGUGAAAUGCGUAGAUAUUAGGAGGAACACCAGUGGCGAAGGCGGCCUGCUGGACGAUGACUGACGUUGAGGCUCGAAAGCGUGGGGAGCAAACAGGAUUAGAUACCCGAGUACCG
Molecule: ribosomal RNA, 450 nt
Filed under: uncultured bacterium
Lineage: Bacteria
Description: bacterial SSU rRNA
Rfam family: Bacterial small subunit ribosomal RNA
Source: RNAcentral